UACGAAGGGAGCAAGCGUUGUUCGGAAUUACUGGGCGUAAAGGGCGUGUAGGCGGAUUAAUCAGUUAGGGGUGAAAUCCCGGGGCUCAACCUCGGAACGGCCUUUAAUACUAUUAAUCUAGAGUCUGUGAGGGGAUAGUGGAAUAUCUAGUGUAGAGGUGAAAUUCGUAGAUAUUAGAUGGAACACCAGUGGCGAAGGCGACUAUCUGGCACAGUACUGACGCUGAGGCGCGAAAGCGUGGGGAGCAAACAGG
This 253-nucleotide ribosomal RNA is filed under the name uncultured bacterium. Its description in RNAcentral is "partial 16S ribosomal RNA". It matches the Rfam family "Bacterial small subunit ribosomal RNA", at positions 524 to 776 of the family's 1533-position model. The record is from RNAcentral.